UACGAAGGGGGCUAGCGUUGCUCGGAAUCACUGGGCGUAAAGGGUGCGUAGGCGGGUUUUUAAGUCAGAGGUGAAAUCCUGGAGCUCAACUCCAGAACUGCCUUUGAUACUGAGAAUCUUGAGUUCGGGAGAGGUGAGUGGAACUGCGAGUGUAGAGGUGAAAUUCGUAGAUAUUCGCAAGAACACCAGUGGCGAAGGCGGCUACCUGGACCAGCACUGACACUGAGGCACGAAAGCGUGGGGAGCAAACAGG
Molecule: ribosomal RNA, 253 nt
Filed under: uncultured bacterium
Lineage: Bacteria
Description: partial 16S ribosomal RNA
Rfam family: Bacterial small subunit ribosomal RNA
Source: RNAcentral